Molecule: unclassified non-coding RNA, 1668 nt
Filed under: Hevea brasiliensis (rubber tree)
Lineage: Eukaryota; Viridiplantae; Streptophyta; Magnoliopsida; Malpighiales; Euphorbiaceae
Source: RNAcentral
GCUUCAUGUGCAAAGGGAGCCAGGCAAGUGCAAUUAGAUAAAGGAGUCAUUGGGUCAUGUAGCUUUGUUUGUUGGACUAAGUUUAUUUAAUUUUUUUUUUCAAAUUAUAUAUGUAUAAUGCACAAACAUACUUUGAGAUGACUUGCAUGUGCACACGCAGACUCACAGUCAAUAGUUCAAAGUUAAGCAUAGAACAGAGAUGGUAGAAAACAUACUGUAUGUACAUGAUCAAAAUUAAAUAUGUGAUAAAGAGAUAGAAAUUGUGCAUAAUUCUUAUAAAGUGCAAUCAGAUGUAUAAUAGACAUUUAUUAUUGCAUUCACAAAGAUAUAAUCUGUGACUAACUUCCUUGACCACCGUGUGCAUUGCCUCCAUGCCUCAACAAUAUGGUGCUCCUCUUCCCCACACCCCUUUCACUUUUAUUUAACCAAAGGGCUCAAGUUUCACUAAGAUAUUGAUCCACAAAAACUAUAAUAACAAACUCUGCCUGUUAAGAUCUUGUCUGAAAAGCCUGCCUAACACUAUGAAUCGCCAUAGGAGAAAUUAAAUUCUGCACAUGCUGUAAAUUAAAUAUUCCCUGCUUAGAAUUUGGAAUCAAUGAUCUAGAGGGCACUGUAUUGUUUCUAUUUUUGAAGAUUAUGCUUAGCAGAAUUUUUGAAUUAUACUUCAAAAUGCAACUUGUGAGAGUGAUCUGGUAAUGUUUUGACUAUUUUGCGCUUUGUGCUUUAAGCGAUAGAGUGAUGCAUCGCUUUGAGUGCACCUUAUGCUUUUAACUACCUUGGAUUUAGACACUGGUUGUCAUGCUAAUAUGUUGAAUUUGUUAUGAAUUGUCUAAUAUUAAUUUUGAAUUUUUAGCAAAUUUAACUUUCUUUUUUUACUAACCUCUCUUAGGUUCACACUUGUUCCAUGCACCUAGAUAUUAGGACUCCUUUGUGCGUUAGUGAACCAUGCCCUUUUAAUAACUGUGAUCCACUAUCUAUCAGUUAUCUGAGAGGUUUCACUGUUAGCAACAAAAUCUAUUUAAUGCUUUCUCUCACCUAAAGUACUGGUUUUUCAAUGGCUACGUCUCAAAUGUUUGGAGACUACCAUCUGAAACAAAUCCAUGUAUCACUCCACAUUGGCAGCUGUGUUACCCAUGUAUGAUCCCAUAUUAUAUUUCUUACCUGUUCUUACUUCUACAGUGUGUAUAACAUAAGUGAAAAGGAGCUUAAUGCAGGUGAAGGGAAUCUUUUAGUAAAACAGCUUCCUUACGGCUUAUGGAAUCCCUGCCAAGUGAAACAGAUUGUAUGCUAUCACUUUCCUUCAGUCUUCACUUCACAACCUCCUCAAUCUAACAGCCUUAUGCUACCUACUGAACUGAAAUAGGAUUGAAAUUGAUUUAUCAACUCCUUCUAAAAACAAGUCCAAAGAACAAUUGACUCAACGAAAAUUUUAUUACUUAUGCAUCACUUAGCCAAAUUAUGUUAGUAAAGCUUCUUGCUGAUAGUAUAACUAAUAGACCAGAUCCUAAAUUAUGCAUAAAACCAAUAACUUUCAGAUAAAAGCAUAUUGCAUAGGUGUAGCAGUUGCAGUGUAAUAUCUGGUAUCCAUUUGAUCGCAUGUAAGAUUCUACAAAUGUGUAGAACAGCUGUGAGGUUUAGAUAAGGAAUCAGUGUUGUCAAAAGUGCUAG